RNAcentral lists this long non-coding RNA (795 nucleotides) under Lynx pardinus (Iberian lynx). Lineage: Eukaryota; Metazoa; Chordata; Mammalia; Carnivora; Felidae. The record is from RNAcentral.
AAGGUGGAUUCUUUCUCAGACGUGCAGUUGCCCCCCCACCCCCCCAGCCCCUACCAGAAAAAAGUCACGUGGCUCCAUCAUCAGCUUUGAAACAACUUUAUUAGAAGGCUGUUUUAAAGGACAACUUCCAAUUCUGUCUUAAUUUGCUUUUUCACAAAUUCCAGUUAUCCCUAGAUUUAGAUAAAACAGUAAUUUUUGCAUUGAUCUUUGCAUCCUAUUUGAGUUGUCCUCACCAGGCCAUUCUGGUGGAACAGAAGCGCGACCGUGAAGUCGCCAAGUUGACCAGCAUUGCUGAGCAGGAGUGGGGGGGGGGAGGGGGGGCCUGGGGGGGAGGGAGCCCACUUCACAGGCGGGGGNUGGCCGCCCUCUCCUGGAGCCCCCACCCCAAACUCACAGUGAUAGGCCCCUCAGCGCCUAGUCAGUCUAAAGGCUGAAACAAGAGAUCCUCCCAGCCCAAGAAAUGAUCUGGACUUCCACGCUCAAUGGAGUGGAGAUUUCUGCCACUCUUCCUGCCCCCGGUCAGACCCUCAGAUCCUGAGGCUCUUCCUGGGUGCAAGCCCUGCUCCAACCUGCCAGGAGCCACCUCCCCAUGACCAGGGCCCUCCUGCCCCGACCUUUCUUCUGUCGCCAGUUCCGAGGCAUUUCUUUGGACAGACUUGACGACAGUGCGGCCAGCGGCGGGAAAGAUCACUCCCACGGCCCCGCCUUCCUCUCCCCACCCCACCUGGAGGGUGCUAGGAAGGUACAAUCAACCAUGAACAUAAAUAUGAAUACAAAAUGAACUUGAAAAUGACA